RNAcentral lists this long non-coding RNA (2714 nucleotides) under Octopus vulgaris (common octopus). The record is from RNAcentral. Lineage: Eukaryota; Metazoa; Mollusca; Cephalopoda; Octopoda; Octopodidae.
UAUAUAUAUAUAUACACACACAAACACACAAGUAAAUACAUUUUAUAUUUAUCAACUGCAUCAUCAUCAUCAUCAUCAUCAUCAUUAUUAUUAUUGUAAUUACUGUUGUUAUUGUUUCUUUUGUUAUUGCUGUUAUUGUUAUUCAUAUGACUGACUCCCUCACACCUGAGAAAUCUUCAAAGAAAGUUGAUUGGUUCUUUCUCAUAUUCCUACACAUUUUUUUUUUCUUAUAACUCCCACCCCACUUCAGUAUUUGUAAUAUUGUUGGGGGCGGGGGGAAGAAAACGAAAAGAGAAAGAAGUGUAAAAAAAAAAAAAGUAUUUAUCAGUAUGAAAUGAAAUUAAGAAAAAAAAGAAGAUAAAAUGCAAAUGAAGAGAUGAGGUAAAUGACUUAAAAAGACAGAAAAAACUAUUUGUAAAAAGAAAGACAGAAAAUGAAAUAAACUGAGAUAUAGGUGAUAUAACAAUAAUAAGGGUCAGGUUUGACCCUUUGAAGAGAAGAAAUCAAAUAAGAAUGCACAAUUACUAAACGGACUUGAAAAUAACUUGUGCAUUCCUCACCUACACACACACCUUUAUGCCAGUUUUUUUUUGUUGGUCUUUUACACAUUUUGUUCUUGUUUAUAAUUGUUAUUUUGUGAUUGAAACCUCAUGAAAGAAAAAGAAAGAAAUGAUUAUAUAUAUAUAGAUAUGUAUAUACAUAUUGAAGGAGUUAGUAAAUCAGAGAGAGAAUGUGUGUGUGUAUAUGGAGAGAGAGAGAGAGAGAAUGAGAAAAGAAUGUAACAAGAACGAAGAAAAGGAAGGAAAGAAGAACAAUGAAAUAAUUGAGACUCCGAUUAUGUUUCUUUUUUUUCUUCUUCUUCUUCCAAAUUUUACUGUCUCAUUGCAACGACAACUGCGUGCUGGUGCUUCACGACAGGCAUAGCAGUGCAUUAGUUUUUGUCAGAACAUUUAUUCCUUACUCUUUGAAAUUCUUCAAAUAUUUGGAGAAGGAAGAUUUUUAGAUAAUACGGAAAAUUCCUCAUAAAUAAUAACAUUGAUGGUCACAAGAAGAAAGGCAAAGAUGAAAAAGAAAUAUAAAAACAAAACAAAAAAAUUGAUAUGAAAAGAUACGAGAAACACAAAUAAACCAAAAGUGGGGAAGGUGAUGGAAAAAAAAAAUAAGACAAGCCCUGACAAAAAAACGAAAUUUCAAAAAAAAAAAAAAACAAAAACAAAAAAAAAACAAGCAAAAAAAACAAACAAUCCCCUCCCAAAACUAAUUUGUACCAAAAUUGCUGCUAAGCCACAGAGUUUCUUGGGAAUAAUUGUUUCUGUUAUUUUUUUCCUCUUUGUUGUGAGAAUUACCAAAAUUUGUUUUCAUGCACCAAAACAUUCUCAAGUCGAGAGUAGUGAAGAUUUCUGACGACUCAAAACUUAACAAAUGACAACAAAUAUUGGUAAUAAUUGACUUUAGAUUCAGUCUGAGAUCUGUAAGUGCAUGUUCCUUGUUUUGUUUUUUUUUUAUUAUUAUUUAUGCUGGGUUGGGAGGUCAGAAUUGUUCAGUAAACAGCUUUGACUCUGUUGGAAUUUACAAUUUCAUUUUUUUUUUUUUUUAAUUUAAUUUUUUAAAAAAUUUCUUUUCAGGGGUGGGCAAGGCAAAAGUUGAAGUGUAUUUCGAGUGGUGAAAAUUUUGACAGUGCCACGCUGAGGCACUUUUACACUGUUGUUAGUUUUUUUUUUGCUCUGUACAGCUGUAUAUGUUUUUUAUUUUAUAUAUAUGUAUGUAUAUACAUAUAUGUAUACACUGUGUGUGUGUGUGCAUGCAUACAGAUAUACAAACUCAUAUACAAUCACAUGUGUAUAUAUAUAUACACACAAAUGUAAAAUGUGUAUGUGUGAGUGUGAAAUAUAUAUGUGCACACACAUAGAUACACACUUUAUAUAUAUGUAUAUGUGUGUGUGUGCAUAUUUAUAUAAAUAUAUGCUCAUGUGUAUCUCUCUCUCUUUAUAUAUAUAUAUAUAUAUAUAUAUACACACACAUACAUAAAAGACCUACAUAAUAUAUAGAGUUAAUAAUAAUGAUAAUAAUAAUAAUAGCAAGGAAAACUGAGGUUUUGCACUGCUGUUAAUCUGAGACUGUUCCUUGUGUUACCACUUUUUGGUAUGACUAGAGACCAUCAAAGAGCAGUAACAUGAAACUUGGAAUACUGAUGGUCUAAAACCCAUUAUAAUUCUGUUAUUAUUACCUAUAUAUUAAUGUGCAUGUAUUUUCUAUAUGUGUGUAUAUAUCUAUAUCUAUCUAUCUACAUAUAUUAUAUAUAUAUAUAUAUAUAUAUAUAUAUAUGUAUAUAUAUAAAUAUAUAUAUACAUACUUAAAUGUACAAAGACACAUAGAUGGUGUCUGUUAUUUUAUGUGAUAUAUGUAUAUUAUAUCUGUUUAUAUAUUUGUAUAUAUAUCUAUAUAUAUAUAUAUAUAUAUAUACCUGCAUACAUAUAUGCACACACACAUACGUAUACAUAUUAUACAUAUUGGUUCAAAAUUUAUCAAUGUGGUGCUAAAAGUCUUGGAAAAAAACUAUCCCCCCUAAAACCACUCCAAAAAUGAGGGCAAAUAGUGCAGUUUUUAACCAAACAAAACAAAAAAAAAAUGAGCAGAAGACAAAAAAAAAUACAAAAACCCAACUAAAUAUUUGUUUUUAUGAACUUAAAAGUAUGUUUAUUUUCUUGUUAUUA